GGGCUCUUGGUCUAGCUUGGUUAUGACGUCGCCUUCACACGGCGGAGGUCCUGGGUUCGAUUCCCAGAGAGCCCACCA
Molecule: transfer RNA, 78 nt
Filed under: Candidatus Methanofastidiosia archaeon
Lineage: Archaea; Methanobacteriati; Methanobacteriota; Candidatus Methanofastidiosia
Also listed under: 1 other name
Description: tRNA-Val
Rfam family: tRNA
About the family: Transfer RNA (tRNA) molecules are approximately 80 nucleotides in length. Their secondary structure includes four short double-helical elements and three loops (D, anti-codon, and T loops). Further hydrogen bonds mediate the characteristic L-shaped molecular structure. tRNAs have two regions of fundamental functional importance: the anti-codon, which is responsible for specific mRNA codon recognition, and the 3' end, to which the tRNAs corresponding amino acid is attached (by aminoacyl-tRNA synthetases). tRNAs cope with the degeneracy of the genetic code in two manners: having more than one tRNA (with a specific anti-codon) for a particular amino acid; and 'wobble' base-pairing, i.e. permitting non-standard base-pairing at the 3rd anti-codon position.
Source: RNAcentral